This 465-nucleotide ribosomal RNA is filed under the name uncultured bacterium. RNAcentral describes it as "partial 16S ribosomal RNA". It matches the Rfam family "Bacterial small subunit ribosomal RNA", at positions 28 to 507 of the family's 1533-position model. The record is from RNAcentral.
GACGAACGCUGGCGGCGUGCUUAACACAUGCAAGUCGAACGGAAAGGCCCCUUUGGGGGUACUCGAGUGGCGAACGGGUGAGUAACACGUGAGUAACCUGCCCUUGACUUCGGGAUAACUUCAGGAAACUGGGGCUAAUACCGGAUAGGAAUCCUUGCUGCAUGGUGGGGGUUGGAAAGCUUCGGCGGUUUUGGAUGGACUCGCGGCUUAUCAGCUUGUUGGUGGGGUAGUGGCUUACCAAGGCUUUGACGGGUAGCCGGCCUCGGAGGGGGACCGGCCACAUUGGGACUGAGAUACGGCCCAGACUCCUACGGGAGGCAGCAGGGGGGAAUAUUGCACAAUGGGCGGAAGCCUGAUGCAGCAACGCCGCGUGCGGGAUGACGGCCUUCGGGUUGUAAACCGCUUUCAGCAGGGGCGAAGCUUGUGGUGACGGUACCUGCAGAAGAAGCACCGGCUAACUACGUG